This 26-nucleotide non-coding RNA is filed under the name Rattus norvegicus (Norway rat). The record is from RNAcentral. Lineage: Eukaryota; Metazoa; Chordata; Mammalia; Rodentia; Muridae.
UGACGGAACUUGAGUCUAAGAGUGGC